Molecule: ribosomal RNA, 481 nt
Filed under: uncultured bacterium
Lineage: Bacteria
Description: bacterial SSU rRNA
Rfam family: Bacterial small subunit ribosomal RNA
Source: RNAcentral
ACGCUGGCGGCGUGCUUAACACAUGCAAGUCGAACGAGGGAAUUGAAAGCUUGCUUUUGAAACCCGAGUGGCAAACGGGUGAGUAACGCGUAGGCAACCUGCCGUUGAGAUGGGGACAACAUCCCGAAAGGGGUGCUAAUACCGUAUGAGGUCACACGAUGGCAUCAGACUGUGACGAAAGGUUUGGCGGACAGGGAUGGGGAUGCGUCCGAUUAGGUAGUCGGCGGGGUAACGGCCCACCGAGCCGACGAUCGGUAGGGGUUCUGAGAGGAAGGUCCCCCACAUUGGAACUGAGACACGGUCCAAACUCCUACGGGAGGCAGCAGUGAGGAAUAUUGGUCAAUGGGCGAGAGCCUGAACCAGCCAAGUAGCGUGCAGGAUGACGGCCCUAUGGGUUGUAAACUGCUUUUAUAAGGGAAUAAAGUGAGCCUCGUGAGGCUUUUUGCAUGUACCUUAUGAAUAAGGACCGGCUAAUUCCGUG